Molecule: ribosomal RNA, 467 nt
Filed under: uncultured bacterium
Lineage: Bacteria
Description: partial 16S ribosomal RNA
Rfam family: Bacterial small subunit ribosomal RNA
Source: RNAcentral
GAUGAACGCUGGCGGCGUGCUUAACACAUGCAAGUCGAACGGAAAGGCCCAAGCUUGCUUGGGUACUCGAGUGGCGAACGGGUGAGUAACACGUGGGUGAUCUGCCCUGCACUUCGGGAUAAGCCUGGGAAACUGGGUCUAAUACCGGAUAGGACCACUUCUUGGAUGUUGUGGUGGAAAGUUUUUUCGGUGUGGGAUGAGCUCGCGGCCUAUCAGCUUGUUGGUGGGGUAAUGGCCUACCAAGGCGUCGACGGGUAGCCGGCCUGAGAGGGUGUACGGCCACAUUGGGACUGAGAUACGGCCCAGACGCCGACGGGAGGCAGCAGUGGGGAAUAUUGCACAAUGGGCGCAAGCCUGAUGCAGCGACGCCGCGUGGGGGAUGACGGCCUUCGGGUUGUAAACUCCUUUCGCUAGGGACGAAGCGUUUUGUGACGGUACCUGGAGAAGAAGCACCGGCUAACUACGUG